AGAUUGAACGCUAGCGGGAUGCUUUACACAUGCAAGUCGAACGGCAGCGCGGACUUCGGUCUGGCGGCGAGUGGCGAACGGGUGAGUAAUAUAUCGGAACGUGCCCAGUAGCGGGGGAUAACUACGCGAAAGCGUGGCUAAUACCGCAUACGCCCUACGGGGGAAAGGGGGGGAUUCUUCGGAACCUCUCACUAUUGGAGCGGCCGAUAUCAGAUUAGCUUGUUGGUGAGGUAAAGGCUCACCAAGGCCGCGAUCUGUAGCUGGUUUGAGAGGACGACCAGCCACACUGGGACUGAGACACGGCCCAGACUCCGUACGGGAGCGAGCUAGGUGGGGUAAUUUUGGACUAAGUACGGGGGAAACCCUGAAGUCCACGGCCACGUCCCGACGUGCGCGAUGGAACGGUCCUUCGGGUUAGUAA
Molecule: ribosomal RNA, 421 nt
Filed under: uncultured soil bacterium
Lineage: Bacteria
Description: bacterial SSU rRNA
Rfam family: Bacterial small subunit ribosomal RNA
Source: RNAcentral